This 91-nucleotide non-coding RNA is filed under the name Karenia brevis. Lineage: Eukaryota; Dinophyceae; Gymnodiniales; Kareniaceae. The record is from RNAcentral.
GAGCUGCGGUGCAGAGCUGGAGUUUUUUGCAUCAUCACAGCCAUGUCGUGAGUGCUCGCUUGAGGGCGCGAACCGAACGGGGCUCAUUCUC